GAUGAACGCUGGCGGCGUGCCUAAUACAUGCAAGUCGAGCGAACAGAUGAGGUUCUUUUUCUUCUGCCGUUAGCGGCGGACGCGUGAGUAACACGUGGAUAACCUACCUAUAAGACUGGGAUAACUUCGGCAACCCGGAGCUAACUCCUGAUAAUUUCUUUACCCGCAUGGUUCCAUAGUGAAAGACGAUUUUGCUGUCACUUAUAGAUGGAUCCGGGCCGCAUUAUCUAUGUGGUAAGGUAACGGCAUACCAAGGCAACGAUGCGUAGCGGACCUGAGAUGGUGGGCGGACACACUGGAACGGAGACGCGGUCCAGACCACUACGGUAGGCAGGAGUAGGGAAUCUAACGCUAGGGAAGAAAGCCUGACGUGGCAACGCCGCGUGAGUGAUAAAAUGCCUGUGUUCGUAAUACUCAGUUAUUAGGGAACAACAAAUGUGUAAGUAACGAUGCACGCCUUGACGGUACCGAAUCAGAAAGCCACGGCUAACUACGUG
RNAcentral lists this ribosomal RNA (497 nucleotides) under uncultured bacterium. RNAcentral describes it as "partial 16S ribosomal RNA". It matches the Rfam family "Bacterial small subunit ribosomal RNA", at positions 28 to 507 of the family's 1533-position model. The record is from RNAcentral.